UAAAAACCCCGACUUCGGAAGGGGUGUAUUUAUUAGAUACAAAACCAAUGCCCUUCGGGGCUCUUUGGUGAUUCAUGAUAACUAUACGAAUCGCACGGCCUUGCGCCGGCGAUGGUUCAUUCAAAUUUCUUCCCUAUCAACUUUCGAUGUUUGGGUAUUGGCCAAACAUGGUUGCAACGGGUAACGGAGGGUUAGGGCUCGACCCCGGAGAAGGAGCCUGAGAAACGGCUACUACAUCCAAGGAAGGCAGCAGGCGCGCAAAUUACCCAAUCCCGACUCGGGGAGGUAGUGACAAUAAAUACUGAUACAGGGCCCUUUCGGGCCUUGUAAUUGGAAUGAGUACAAUUUAAAUCCCUUAACGAGGAACAAUUGGAGGGCAAGUCUGGUGCCAGCAGCCGCGGUAAUUCCAGCUCCAAUAGCGUAUAUUAAAGUUGUUGUGGUUAAAAAGCUCGUAGUUGAACCUCGGGCCUGGCUGGCCGGUCCGCCUCACCGCGUGCACUGGUCCGGCCGGGCCUUUCCCUCUGUGGAACCCCAUACCCUUCACUGGGCGUGGCGGGGAAACAGGACAUUUACUUU
This 576-nucleotide ribosomal RNA is filed under the name uncultured eukaryote. Its description in RNAcentral is "SSU rRNA". It matches the Rfam family "Eukaryotic small subunit ribosomal RNA", at positions 174 to 758 of the family's 1831-position model. The record is from RNAcentral.